CAGACAUCUUUCUUUUACCCCUCACAUUGUUCUCUACUGCUCCUCUGCUUCCUGCUUCCGGAAACUGACCUUUGGCGAAUCCUUUGACAGGUCCUUCUGCCCCUGGGGCUUUGAGUUGUGUUCCAUGGAUUGGCACCGCCAUGAAAAGAUAAGAGAGGGCAAGACAUUGGCUUCCACUCCCCAUCCCUACUCGUUGCUGGCUGGAAUGUAGAAGAGGUAGAGAAAUAUCUUCGAUCACAGAGCAUCUUCCCAUUGGCAGAGCAACAAACCGGAAGUACCCUCCAUGCCCUAUUCCACAAAUAAGUUGUUG
RNAcentral lists this long non-coding RNA (310 nucleotides) under Pan paniscus (pygmy chimpanzee). RNAcentral's name for it is "lncRNA (ENSPPAG00000044593.1)". The record is from RNAcentral. Lineage: Eukaryota; Metazoa; Chordata; Mammalia; Primates; Hominidae.